Molecule: ribosomal RNA, 253 nt
Filed under: uncultured bacterium
Lineage: Bacteria
Description: partial 16S ribosomal RNA
Rfam family: Bacterial small subunit ribosomal RNA
Source: RNAcentral
UACAGAGGUCCCAAGCGUUGUUCGGAUUCACUGGGCGUAAAGGGUGCGUAGGCGGUCGGGUAAGUCUGACGUGAAAUCUUCAAGCUCAACUUGGAAACUGCGUCCGAUACUAUUCGGCUAGAGGAAUGGAGGGGAGACUGGAAUACUUGGUGUAGCAGUGAAAUGCGUAGAGAUCAUGAGGAAGACCAGUGGCGAAGGCGGGUCUCUGGACAGUUCCUGACACUGAGGCACGAAGGCCAGGGGAGCAAACAGG